Molecule: ribosomal RNA, 253 nt
Filed under: uncultured bacterium
Lineage: Bacteria
Description: partial 16S ribosomal RNA
Rfam family: Bacterial small subunit ribosomal RNA
Source: RNAcentral
UACGAAGGGGGCUAGCGUUGCUCGGAAUGACUGGGCGUAAAGGGCGCGUAGGCGGUUUGUACAGUCAGAUGUGAAAUUCCUGGGCUUAACCUGGGGGCUGCAUUUGAUACGUGCAGACUUGAGUGAGGAAGAGGGUUGUGGAAUUCCCAGUGUAGAGGUGAAAUUCGUAGAUAUUCGCAAGAACACCAGUGGCGAAGGCGGCUCACUGGCCCGGUACUGACGCUGAGGUGCGAAAGCGUGGGGAGCAAACAGG